GGCUCAGAUUGAACGCUGGCGGGAUGCUUUACACAUGCAAGUCGAACGGCAGCACGGACUUCGGUCUGGUGGCGAGUGGCGAACCGUUGAUAAUGUAUCGGAACGUGCCUAGUAGCGGGGAUAACUGCAUGGCGUAGCUAUUACCGCAUACGCCCUUCCAGGGGAAAGCGGGGACCUUCGGGCCUUUCGCAUAAUGGAAAGCGGCCGAUAUCGGAUUGGCUGGUUGGUGGGGUAACGGCUCACCAAGGCGACGAUCCGUAGCUGGUUUGAGGACGACCAGCCACACUGGGACUGAGACACGGCCCAGACUCCUACGGGAGGCAGCAGUGGGGAAUUUUGGACAAUGGGGAAACCUGAUCCAGCCAUCCCGCGUGUGCGAUGAAGGCCUUCGGGUUGUAAAGCACUUUUGGCAGGAAAAGCAACUGCGGGAUAAUACCCGAUGCAACUGACGGGCUACAGAAUAGCGCAAGCUAACUACGUGCCAGCAGCCGCGGCAAUACGUAAGUGCAAGCAUUAAUCGGAAUUACUGGGCGUAAAGCGUGCAGGCGAUUCGGAAAGAAAGAUGAAAUCUGGAAAACGCAACUUUAGAACUGCAUUUUUAACUACCGAGCUAGAGUGUGUCAGAGGGAGGUGUGGAAUUCCGCGUGUAGCAGUGAAAUGCGUAGAUAUGCGGAGGAACACCGAUGGCGAAGGCAGCCUCACUGGGAUAACACUGACGCUCAUGCACGAAAGCGUGGGAGCAAACAGGAUUAGAUACCCUGGUAGUCCACGCCCUAAACGAUGUCAACUAGCUGUUGUUGGGGCCUUCCCGGGCCUUGGUAGCGCAACUAACGCGUGAAGUUGACCGCCUGGGAAAUUACAGUCGCAGAUUAAAACUCAAAGGAAUUGACGGGGACCCGCACAAGCGGUGGAUGAUGUGGAUUCGAAUUGAUGCAACGCGAAAAACCUUACCUACAGGCAUGUCUGGAAUCCCGAAGAGAUUUGGGAGUGCUCGCAAAGAGAACCGGAACACAGGUGCUGCAUGGCUGUCGUCAGCUCGUGUCGUGAGAUGUUGGGGUUAAAGUCCCGCAACGGGCGCAAGCCCCUUGUCGUGGAGUUGCUGCGAAAAGGGCACUCUAAUGAGACUGCCAGUGACAAACCGGAGGAAGGUGGGGAUGACGUCGGAAUCCUCAUGGCCCACUUAUGGGUAGGGCUUCACACGUCAUACAAUGGUCGGGACAGAGGGUCGCCAACCCGCGAGGGGGAGCCAAUCCCAGAAACCCGAUCGUAGUCCGGAUCGCAGUCUGCAACUCGACUGCGUGAAGUCGGAAUCGCUAGUAAUCGCGGAUCAGCAUGUCGCGGUGAAUAGAUUCCACGGUCUUGUACACACCGCCCGUCACACCAUGGGAGUGGGUUUUACCAGAAGUAGUUAGCCUAACCGUAAGGAGGGCGAUUACCACGGUAGGAUUCAUGACUGGGGCGAAGUCGUAACAAGGUAG
RNAcentral lists this ribosomal RNA (1478 nucleotides) under uncultured Bordetella sp. RNAcentral's name for it is "partial 16S-23S ribosomal RNA intergenic spacer". It matches the Rfam family "Bacterial small subunit ribosomal RNA". Lineage: Bacteria; Pseudomonadati; Pseudomonadota; Betaproteobacteria; Burkholderiales; Alcaligenaceae. The record is from RNAcentral.